GACGAACGCUGGCGGCGUGCUUAACACAUGCAAGUCGAACGGAAAGGCCCUGCUUUUGUGGGGUGCUCGAGUGGCGAACGGGUGAGUAACACGUGAGUAACCUGCCCUUGACUUUGGGAUAACUUCAGGAAACUGGGGCUAAUACCGGAUAGGAGCUCCUGCUGCAUGGUGGGGGUUGGAAAGUUUCGGCGGUUGGGGAUGGACUCGCGGCUUAUCAGCUUGUUGGUGGGGUAGUGGCUUACCAAGGCUUUGACGGGUAGCCGGCCUGAGAGGGUGACCGGCGAGAGUGGGGGGGUGAGCCGGACAAGGCGCGUGCGGGAGGAAGUGGUGGGAAUGAGUGAGCAGGGGGCGGGAGCGGGAGGGGCCAGCGCGGCGGGGGGGAUGUGGGCAGGAGGGGUGUAAACCGUGUGGGACGGGGAGGGAGGGGAGGUAAGGGUAAUGGGAAAGGAGGCACGGCAUAACUUGGGGCCAGGAGCCGAGGUAAUGGAGAAUAGCACACUUCUGACC
This 507-nucleotide ribosomal RNA is filed under the name uncultured bacterium. RNAcentral's name for it is "partial 16S ribosomal RNA". The stretch from base 20 to 332 matches the Rfam family "Bacterial small subunit ribosomal RNA", at positions 47 to 358 of the family's 1533-position model. The record is from RNAcentral.